Molecule: long non-coding RNA, 1406 nt
Organism: Cyprinus carpio carpio
Lineage: Eukaryota; Metazoa; Chordata; Actinopteri; Cypriniformes; Cyprinidae
Source: Ensembl
GAAGUGAACUAUGCCUUUAAUGCACAGCUAUCCGUGGAUCACCCAAAAAUUAUUAGAAAGAUAAGUUAACAUUUUUAGAAUUGAUCUCCCACCAAUGCAUUAUAUCUGUUAUCUGCUGAUCUGCUUGUAAGUUGUUGUCAGUUUUUAACAUCCAAAUAUGGAUAAAUGUUUUACAUUUGCAGAAUAUCAAAAUUUUUCAUUUUAAUUUGACCGUCCUAGUUUGCGUUAUGUACACUGGGCUCUAUAAUAUAAUCUCCUUUUGGGUGUUAUAGUUUUUGGUAAACUGUUGAAGAGUCAUAGGUUGAGUAAAUUUAAAUUUUUUUGUUUCUUUUGUUUGUCUUUUUCAGAACAGGCAAUUGAUGAGGAGAGUUUUUUGCUUUUAGAUGAGGGGACCAUUAACUGCCUAAUUCCAAAGAUCGGUCUUAGGCUGAAGUUCCUGAAAUACUACAAAGAAUUUACCAAGCUCGGACACAAAAAAGGGUCUAGCAUCUGCCUUGGUACAAGCAUUCCCCUGUCUGCACGAUAAAACUGCUGGUGGUUAUGAAACAUGGUAUGCCCAAUGCCGAAAUAAUAGACCAGCCACUGGGUUCAUUGAAGAGAGACUGAGGAAUAUACGAAAGCGACUGAGGCGCUUGAGACGACCACAAGGAGAGAAAGAAGAUGCACCAUGCAGGACAGUCAUGCCAGGUAAUGGGUAGACUCAAUUCUUAAAGGAGCAGUUCAUGCAAAAAAUAAUCCCUGCAAACUCAAACUCCCAUGACUUUAAGAUGUCAAGACAAAAGGACUUAUUUUGUUUAUAAUUCAGAAAAAAAGAAGCAUCCUCUCAUUUUCAACUGCAUUUUUUUGCAGCAAAUUUCUUAACAUGUAAAUAUUUGUAUAAAUAUAAAACGAUUCAACAACUGAGACAAAAACCUGACAACAUUUUGCAGAAAUUUAAUGAACAGAAAUUAAAAAAGAGGGUGCAGUCAGUAUGUGGUGUACCCAGCUAAUGUGCUACAGUGUAUCUCUUUUUCUUGGAAUACAGCAGAUUUGCCAUUUCUUUUUAUGAGAUGUUACUGGGGGUACAGUGCAAGGAUAAAUAAAGAACUGAUCUUUCAAUAAGUUUGCUGGUGAAAAAAAACUCUUGCUUGAUUUUGGCAAAAUGUUAAUAUGACAGAUGCAGGUGUCUGAGAUGUAUAAAGCCAAUACUAACUGUAGCAACAUGGCGUUUUUUUAAUUAUUGUUUAUUAUGAUGAUUGUAUAUUUCAUAGAAACAUUGUGUUAAAUGUAACAAUUGGAGUGAAGAGAUCAAUAUAAUAUGAGUGUGCAGUGCACGAUGUUAAAGCUGUUAUGUAAUUUUUUUUACAUGCAGCAUUUAUCCAAACAAUGACACUGACACAUCAAAUAUGCAAAUAAGAACAUUAACU